RNAcentral lists this non-coding RNA (1047 nucleotides) under Drosophila simulans. RNAcentral describes it as "Eukaryotic large subunit ribosomal RNA". It matches the Rfam family "Eukaryotic large subunit ribosomal RNA", at positions 335 to 1205 of the family's 3401-position model. Lineage: Eukaryota; Metazoa; Arthropoda; Insecta; Diptera; Drosophilidae. The record is from Rfam by way of RNAcentral.
CUGUGGUGGAUUCAGUACCGUGAGGGAAAGUUGAAAAGAACUCUGAAUAGAGAGUUAAACAGUACGUGAAACUGCUUAGAGGUUAAGCCCGAUGAACCUGAAUAUCCGUUAUGGAAAAUUCAUCAUUAAAAUUGUAAUAUUUAAAUAAUAUUAUUAAGAAUAAUGUGCAUUUUUUCCAUAUAAGGACAUUGUAAUCUAUUAGCAUAUCCCAAAUUUAUCAUAAAAUAUAACUUAUAGUUUAUUCCAAUUAAAUUGCUUGCAUUUUAACACAGAAUAAAUGUUAUUAAUUUGAUAAAGUGCUGAUAGAUUUAUAUUAUUACAGAGCGUUAAUUUUUCGGAAUUAUAUAAUGGCAUAAUUAUCAUUGAUUUUUGUGUUUAUUAUAUGCUCUUGUAUGAUUAACAAUGCGAAAGAUUCAGGAUACCUUCGGGACCCGUCUUGAAACACGGACCAAGGAGUCUAACAUAUGUGCAAGUUAUUGGGAUGUAAACCUAAUAGCGUAAUUAACUUGACUAAUAAUGGGAUUAGUUUUUUAGCUAUUUAUAGCUAAUUAACACAAUCCCGGGGCGUUCUAUAUAGUUAUGUAUAAUGUAUAUUUAUAUUAUUUAUGCCUCUAACUGGAACGUACCUUGAGCAUAUAUGCUGUGACCCGAAAGAUGGUGAACUAUACUUGAUCAGGUUGAAGUCAGGGGAAACCCUGAUGGAAGACCGAAACAGUUCUGACGUGCAAAUCGAUUGUCAGAAUUGAGUAUAGGGGCGAAAGACCAAUCGAACCAUCUAGUAGCUGGUUCCUUCCGAAGUUUCCCUCAGGAUAGCUGGUGCAUUUUAAUAUUAUAUAAAAUAAUCUUAUCUGGUAAAGCGAAUGAUUAGAGGCCUUAAGGUCGAAACGAUCUUAACCUAUUCUCAAACUUUAAAUGGGUAAGAACCUUAACUUUCUUGAUAUGAAGUUCAAGGUUAUGAUAUAUGUGCCCAGUGGGCCACUUUUGGUAGCAGACUGGCGCUGUGGGAUGAACCAAACGUAAUGUUACGGUGCCCAAAUUACACUCAUG